CACCACUCUAACGACAGUCUAGAGAAAUUGUUCACCCCCAUCUAACGAAGUAGACCCUCCUCCUUCUGCAGCUUCGGAAGAUGGAAAUCAUGUUGUACACAUCGUCCCAACGACACCCACAAGACCAUCAAUUCUUCGUCAACGGUGCACGUUAGGAUUUCGGGAAUGCUCUCAAAUCCAUCAUCACUCGAGCCUAACGUAGCAUUCACCUGAUGAGCUCAGCCCAAGAUGACCCUUGAGCGUAAACGUAAUUGGUGCGUCCUUUUCGGUGCUGCCGGCCAACCUGGCCGGUGAGUCGAAUUUCAACCUACGGUUGACGAGUGUCUCUGCUUCAAAUGGAUCUUCAUUCAUCAUAUCCGUCUGUUUUUGGGCAACUCUCUGUAGAACUGCUAUCAACGUGAAAAAAGACAGGGAAAAUAUAUCGCAGAAUUAGUAUUGACUCAGAG
This is a long non-coding RNA of Anopheles arabiensis, 446 nucleotides long. RefSeq lists it as uncharacterized. The transcript is spliced from 3 exons. The record is from RefSeq and is a predicted model, not a curated record. Lineage: Eukaryota; Metazoa; Arthropoda; Insecta; Diptera; Culicidae.